This is a non-coding RNA of Gymnothorax javanicus (giant moray), 69 nucleotides long. Lineage: Eukaryota; Metazoa; Chordata; Actinopteri; Anguilliformes; Muraenidae. The record is from the annotation of a GenBank genome assembly.
GCAAAGUGGCAAAGUGGUUAGCACCACUGCCUCACAGGAAGAAGGUCGUGGGUUCGAAUCCGGCCUGCG